AGUGAACGCUGGCGGUAGGCCUAACACAUGCAAGUCGAACGGCAGCACAGUAAGAGCUUGCUCUUACGGGUGGCGAGUGGCGGACGGGUGAGGAAUACAUCGGAAUCUACUUUUUCGUGGGGGAUAACGUAGGGAAACUUACGCUAAUACCGCAUACGACCUACGGGUGAAAGCAGGGGAUCUUCGGACCUUGCGCGAUUGAAUGAGCCGAUGUCGGAUUAGCUAGUUGGCGGGGUAAAGGCCCACCAAGGCGACGAUCCGUAGCUGGUCUGAGAGGAUGAUCAGCCACACUGGAACUGAGACACGGUCCAGACUCCUACGGGAGGCAGCAGUGGGGAAUAUUGGACAGUGGGCGCAAGCCUGAUCCAGCCAUACCGCGUGGGUGAAGAAGGCUUUCGGGUUGUAAAGCCCUUUUGUUGGGAAAGAAAAGCAGCAGGUUAAUACCCCGCUGUUCUGACGGUACCCAAAGAAUAAGCACCGGCUAACUUCGU
This 491-nucleotide ribosomal RNA is filed under the name uncultured bacterium. Its description in RNAcentral is "partial 16S ribosomal RNA". It matches the Rfam family "Bacterial small subunit ribosomal RNA", at positions 29 to 506 of the family's 1533-position model. The record is from RNAcentral.